CCAGCCGAGCGCGUCUACCAUGCAGUCGAACGAUGAUCCGGUGCUUGCACCGGGGAUUAGUGGCGAACGGGUGAGUAACACGUGAGUAACCUGCCCUUAACUCUGGGAUAAGCCUGGGAAACUGGGUCUAAUACCGGAUAUGACUGAUCAUCGCAUGGUGGUUGGUGGAAAGCUUUUUGUGGUUUUGGAUGGACUCGCGGCCUAUCAGCUUGUUGGUGAGGUAAUGGCUUACCAAGGCGACGACGGGUAGCCGGCCUGAGAGGGUGACCGGCCACACUGGGACUGAGACACGGCCCAGACUCCUACGGGAGGCAGCAGUGGGGAAUAUUGCACAAUGGGCGCAAGCCUGAUGCAGCGACGCCGCGUGAGGGAUGACGGCCUUCGGGUUGUAAACCUCUUUCAGUAGGGAAGAAGCGAAAGUGACGGUACCUGCAGAAGAAGCGCCGGCUAACUACGUGCCAGCAGCCGCGGUAAUACGUAGGGCGCAAGCGUUAUCCGGAAUUAUUGGGCGUAAAGAGCUCGUAGGCGGUUUGUCGCGUCUGCCGUGAAAGUCCGGGGCUCAACUCCGGAUCUGCGGUGGGUACGGGCAGACUAGAGUGAUGUAGGGGAGACUGGAAUUCCUGGUGUAGCGGUGAAAUGCGCAGAUAUCAGGAGGAACACCGAUGGCGAAGGCAGGUCUCUGGGCAUUAACUGACGCUGAGGAGCGAAAGCAUGGGGAGCGAACAGGAUUAGAUACCCUGGUAGUCCAUGCCGUAAACGUUGGGCACUAGGUGUGGGGGGACAUUCCACGUUUUCCGCGCCGUAGCUAACGCAUUAAGUGCCCCGCCUGGGGAGUACGGCCGCAAGGCUAAAACUCAAAGGAAUUGACGGGGGCCCGCACAAGCGGCGGAGCAUGCGGAUUAAUUCGAUGCAACGCGAAGAACCUUACCAAGGCUUGACAUGAACCGGAAAGACCUGGAAACAGGUGCCCCGCUUGCGGUCGGGUUUACAGUGGUGCAUGGUUGUCGUCAGCUCGUGUCGUGAGAUGUUGGGUUAAGUCCCGCAACGAGCGCAACCCUCGUUCUAUGUUGCCAGCAACGUGAUGUUGGGGACCUCAUAGGAGACUGCGGGUUCAACUCGGAGGAAGGUGGGGGACGACGUCAAUCAUCAUGCCCAUUAUUGUCUUGGGCUUCACCGCCAUGCUACCAUGGGCCGGGUACAAAUGGAUUGCGCGAUACUGUGAGGUGGAGCUUAAUUCCAAAGUCGGUCCUCAGUUCGGAUGGGGUCUUGCAACUCGAAUCCAUGAGUCGGAAUGCCCUAGUAAUCCGAAGAAUCUA
RNAcentral lists this ribosomal RNA (1316 nucleotides) under Pseudarthrobacter oxydans. Its description in RNAcentral is "bacterial SSU rRNA". It matches the Rfam family "Bacterial small subunit ribosomal RNA", at positions 36 to 1354 of the family's 1533-position model. Lineage: Bacteria; Bacillati; Actinomycetota; Actinomycetes; Micrococcales; Micrococcaceae. The record is from RNAcentral.